Molecule: small nuclear RNA, 96 nt
Filed under: Erinaceus europaeus (western European hedgehog)
Lineage: Eukaryota; Metazoa; Chordata; Mammalia; Eulipotyphla; Erinaceidae
Source: RNAcentral
GUGCUCGCUUCGGCAGCACAUAUACCCAAAUUGGAACGAUACAGAGAAGAUUAGCAUGGCCCCUGCACAAGGAAAAAUGAGUAUUUUCCUAAUUUU